RNAcentral lists this ribosomal RNA (775 nucleotides) under uncultured Neocallimastigales. RNAcentral describes it as "partial large subunit ribosomal RNA". It matches the Rfam family "Eukaryotic large subunit ribosomal RNA", at positions 23 to 647 of the family's 3401-position model. Lineage: Eukaryota; Fungi; Neocallimastigomycota; Neocallimastigomycetes; Neocallimastigales. The record is from RNAcentral.
ACACGCAUGACACACUGCAUAUCAAUAAGCGGAGGAAAAGAAACUAACAAGGAUUCCCUUAGUAACGGCGAGUGAAGCGGGAAGAGCUCAAAUUUGAAAUCUUCAAGGUUCUACCUUGACGAAUUGUAGUUUAUAGAAGUGUUUUCUGUUAGUAGAGUGGCAAAAGUUCUUUGGAAUAGGACAUCAUAGAGGGUGAGAAUCCCGUAUUUGGUCAUUCUUUCUAGCUUUGUGAUACACUUUCAACGAGUCGGAUUGUUUGGGAAUGCAGUCCAAAAUGGGUGGUAAAUUUCAUCUAAAGCUAAAUAUUGGCGAGAGACCGAUAGCGAACAAGUACCGUGAGGGAAAGAUGAAAAGAACUUUGAAAAGAGAGUUAAACAGUACGUGAAAUUGUCAAAAGGGAAGCGUUUGACACCAGUGUUGUUUUUCCGAAAAUCAAUUACGAAUGUUUUAUUUUUGAGAAGUUAUGACUUCAUCGGCUUGCUUCUCUCUUUAUGAAACUUUCUUAAUGCACCUUUUCGGUUAACAAGUCAACAUCAAUUUCUUUUGUUGUAAAAGGGUAUGAGGAAGGUGGCUUUCUUUUCGGAGAAAGUGUUUAUAGCCUUGUACCUCUGCAAUCGGAGAGAUUGAGGUCUGCAGCGUAGAUCCUUCGGGGUUAGAUACAUUUGUGCUAAGUUAUAGCUUUUCAUAGACAACUUGUUGACUAUGUUAAGUCUUGUAGCUUACUCGCUUAUGCUAUUUUACCUACGCUUAGGAUGUUGACGCAUGAGAUAUACGC